RNAcentral lists this long non-coding RNA (854 nucleotides) under Monodelphis domestica (gray short-tailed opossum). Its description in RNAcentral is "lncRNA (ENSMODG00000051035.1)". Lineage: Eukaryota; Metazoa; Chordata; Mammalia; Didelphimorphia; Didelphidae. The record is from RNAcentral.
UUAUUCAGAAGAAAAAUGAAAGAAAAAAGGAAUUUCAUAAAAACUAAGCUACCAGAAGGAUCCAUUGUGGAAGGAAAUGGCAAACCACUCCAGUAUCCUUGCUUAAAAAAUCCCAUUGAUAUCUCUGAUCACAAAGAGUUGUAUGUGGUCAAAUGACUAAUCAACAAACUUACUAAAUGAGAUGGCAGAUUUUGCAAUAUUGUACACCCAUAUUCCCCUGCAAGGAAGAAAGUAGAAACGUCAAUUCCCCAAGCCAAGAAGACCCCCAUCUCCCAGAAGCUCCUACAAAAUCUAGAAUAUAGAUGAGUUUGGUCCAAUCACAUUCUAUUUCCAUACCCGGUGGAUUUACAGCACACCUGAAUUGGAGUUUCUUCAUCUGCAAAAUGGGGGUAAUAAAUAACAGUACCUCUGACGCCCAUUGCAAAGAUUAAAAGAGAUAUGUAAACUGCUCUGCCAGUCUUAUGAACUGAGCCUGGUCCACUAAGACCCAAGGAAUGGCAAGGAUCUCAAAGCAUGCACAGAUAUUUUCUACCUAUUUCCUUCUGGCUAUGUAUGAAUCAUCCACUGAAAGUCCAUUGAUUGGCUUACGUGCCAGAAGAGCUAAGGCCAAAGUAGAUAUUUUAAAAAAGAAAAUGGAUUCUAGUUGACUCUGUGGGUACCAGAUUCUCAGGAAGAAAGUUGUGGUUUCAGAGUCGGGGAGAGGGAGAGGAUCAUAGGCUCCCAGGAUGGAUAAAGAAGAUGCCUUCCCUCCUCCUGUGUAUGUCCUUCCUUUAGCAUCAACCUUGUGGUCAUCUAAAAGUCAAGAGAGAUUAUACUAGUGGCAGCUGGCAUUGUCCCCUUCCCUGGCACCUGAU